AUUGAACGCUGGCGGCAUGCUUUACACAUGCAAGUCGAACGGCAGCGCGGGGCAACCUGGCGGCGAGCGGCGAACGGGUGAGUAAUACAUCGGAACGUACCCAGAAGUGGGGGAUAACGUAGCGAAAGUUACGCCAAUACCGCAUACGUUCUACGGAAGAAAGUGGGGGAUCUUCGGACCUCAUGCUUUUGGAGCGGCCGAUGUCUGAUUAGCUAGUUGGUGAGGUAAAGGCUCACCAAGGCGACGAUCAGUAGCUGGUCUGAGAGGACGACCAGCCACACUGGGACUGAGACACGGCCCAGACUCCUACGGGAGGCAGCAGUGGGGAAUUUUGGACAAUGGGCGCAAGCCUGAUCCAGCAAUGCCGCGUGAGUGAAGAAGGCCUUCGGGUUGUAAAGCUCUUUUGUCAGGGAAGAAACGGCUGGGGCUAAUAUCUCCGGCUAAUGACGGUACCUGAAGAAUAAGCACCGGCUAACUACGUGCCAGCCGCCGCAGUAA
This 498-nucleotide ribosomal RNA is filed under the name uncultured bacterium. RNAcentral describes it as "partial 16S ribosomal RNA". It matches the Rfam family "Bacterial small subunit ribosomal RNA", at positions 30 to 523 of the family's 1533-position model. The record is from RNAcentral.